Molecule: ribosomal RNA, 1887 nt
Filed under: Triticum aestivum (bread wheat)
Lineage: Eukaryota; Viridiplantae; Streptophyta; Magnoliopsida; Poales; Poaceae
Description: partial small subunit ribosomal RNA
Source: RNAcentral
AUGUCAUCCUCCACCCCAAAGCAGCCAGUGGCAAGGCCUACAACUGCUGAAGACGCACCACCGGUUCAGAUGUCGGCCGCUGAAGCAGUAGGGGGAGACCCAGCUGCAGCACAUGCUCAGCAGACCAACCUGGUGGAACAGACUGAUGCUUCAGAACCGCCUGCUAAGCAGUCUGUAGGUCCAGAACUGACUGCUCAUCAGUCCGUCAGUCCGCAGUCGCGUGAUCAGCAUACAAGUGCGUCAGCACUUCUUGCUCAGCAAACCAACACGUUGGCACGGCCUCCUCAGCACGCCGACAAGUUGGCACCACCUACUCAGAAACCCAACAAAGCUUCAACGCAUGGUCAGCAGUGCGAUGCCUAUGCUCCUACAGCCCAGCAGUCCUUCACAGCAGCACCGCCAGCUCAGCUCUCCGGCAUAGAUAAACCGUCUGCUAAGCAGUCCGUCCAAGCUUCCUCGUCUGCUCGGCAGUCUCCCUUGCAGGCAACCAGACGUUCUGCCAGAAAUGCUUCAAGUACCAAGAAGGAAGUGGCCAAAAAGGCUACACCCACGACCACGAGGAAGCGCGGCGGGAAAGUGAAGAGGAAAGAGAACGAUUGCCUCUUACUUAAAGCACUAAUUGCCCGAAACCAAAUUAACAACAGCUUGUUCGAAUCGGGGAGUAAUAUUAUUUCUGACGCCAUGGAUGAUGAAGAAAGCAGAGAUCAUUUCCGACACGAUGCUGGUUCCAUCAAUGGAUUGAACGCGCAGAGAACAAAAAGGGAGAGUGUGUAUUUCAUAAAUCCUGAAUUAGCAAAUGGCACAACAAUACUUGGUGAGGACCGACGGGACUGGGCCGUUAACACGGUCGUCCGUCUCUUCGAAAACACGUCCCAUGCAGAAUCAUUUCUCUGGCCAUAUCAUGAAGGUGCGCUCGCACUGUGGAAAACUACACCAGGGAACAUGUUCAAGAGGGAACUACCUUUGCAGCACGAGAUCGUUUCUCUGUGUCCUCAGCAAGAAGCAGGGACCAACCUUUGUGGAUACUAUGUUUGCAGACACAUGAUCUCCAUCUGCAAAUCUGCUGACAGUUGUGACGAUCCUCGCGAAUUAGUACCAAAAAUGUGUGGGAUCCCAAACAAAAAGCACGCGUCACUCUUGCGGCAACCGUCGAUGAUACCCAACAAAUCACAAACGGUCUGCAGCACUUGUAUCAGCCGGCAGCUAGGCGGUUGCUCUCCCAUCCUCCCCAAUCCUCCCCUCGAUCUCGUCGGAGCGGGCGGAGACCGGGCCGCGGCGAUGACGGUGAUCGACAUCCUCACGCGGGUGGACGUCAUCUGCCAGAAGUACGACAAGUACGACGCCGAGAAGCUCAACGGCGCCAACGUCGCCGGCGAGGACCCCUUCGCCCGCCUCUAUGGCUCCAUCGACGCCGAGAUCUCCUAUCUGCUGCUGCAGAAAGCGGAGGCGGCGAGGCAGGAGAAGAACCGGGCCACGGUCGUUGCGCUCAACACCGAGAUCCGCCGCACCAAGGCCAAGCUCCUCGAGGAGGACCUGUCCAAGCUGCAGCGCCUCGCGCUCAAGAAGGAAUAUGAGAUGCAUAGAAUGAAGCAGGAUGAAGGUUUGGAUGUUAUUGGUGAAGGGCUGGCAACUCUGAAGAACAUGGCAUCGGAUAUGAAUGAGGAAUUGGAUAGGCAAGUUCCCUUGAUGGAUGAAAUGGAUGACAAGGUGGAUAGAGCCAAUGCAGAUCUGAAGAAUACCAACUGUGCUCAAGAAGUGAGUGAGGUGCAACGAUGUGCUCAUGUCGCGGUCGGUGGUGGUCUUGCAUUGGCUCCUCUACUUAUCAUGUCCUGCUGUGAUAGGCUUCAACAUGUGCCACGAGUAAUUCGUUUCGUCUCAUCUGUGUAA